Molecule: ribosomal RNA, 460 nt
Filed under: uncultured bacterium
Lineage: Bacteria
Description: partial 16S ribosomal RNA
Rfam family: Bacterial small subunit ribosomal RNA
Source: RNAcentral
CCUACGGGAGGCAGCAGUGAGGAAUAUUGGUCAAUGGACGCAAGUCUGAACCAGCCAUGCCGCGUGCAGGAAGACGGCUCUAUGAGUUGUAAACUGCUUUUGUACGAGGGUAAACGCAGAUACGCGUAUCUGUCUGAAAGUAUCGUACGAAUAAGGAUCGGCUAACUCCGUGCCAGCAGCCGCGGUAAUACGGAGGGUUCAAGCGUUAUCCGGAUUUAUUGGGUUUAAAGGGUGCGUAGGCGGUCGGAUAAGUUAGAGGGGAAAUCCCGAGGCUCAACUUCGGAAUUGCGACUGAUACUGUUCGGCUAGAGAGUAGUUGCGGUAGGCGGAAUGUAUGGUGUAGCGGUGAAAUGCUUAGAGAUCAUACAGAACACCGAUUGCGAAGGCAGCCUACCAAGCUACUUCUGACGUUGAGGCACGAAAGCGUGGGGAGCAAACAGGAUUAGAUACCCGAGUAGUC